UUAGAGGAAGUAAAAGUCGUAACAAGGUCUCCGUUGGUGAACCAGCGGAGGGAUCAUUACCGAGUUUACAACUCCCAAACCCAAUGUGAACGUUACCAAACUGUUGCCUCGGCGGGAUCUCUGCCCCGGGUGCGUCGCAGCCCCGGACCAAGGCGCCCGCCGGAGGACCAACCAAAACUCUUUAUGUAUACCCCCUCGCGGGUUUUUUACAAUCUGAGCCAUCUCGGCGCCCCUCGUGGGCGUUUCGAAAAUGAAUCAAAACUUUCAACAACGGAUCUCUUGGUUCUGGCAUCGAUGAAGAACGCAGCGAAAUGCGAUAAGUAAUGUGAAUUGCAGAAUUCAGUGAAUCAUCGAAUCUUUGAACGCACAUUGCGCCCGCCAGUAUUCUGGCGGGCAUGCCUGUCCGAGCGUCAUUUCAACCCUCGAACCCCUCCGGGGGGUCGGCGUUGGGGAUCGGCCCUUUACGGGGCCGGCCCCGAAAUACAGUGGCGGUCUCGCCGCAGCCUCUCCUGCGCAGUAGUUUGCACACUCGCAUCGGGAGCGCGGCGCGUCCAUUGCCGUAAAACACCCAACUUUCUGAAAUGUUGACCUCGGAUCAGGUAGGAAUACCCGCUGAACUUAAGCAUAUCAAUAA
Molecule: ribosomal RNA, 634 nt
Filed under: uncultured Trichoderma
Lineage: Eukaryota; Fungi; Ascomycota; Sordariomycetes; Hypocreales; Hypocreaceae
Description: eukaryotic LSU rRNA
Rfam family: 5.8S ribosomal RNA (bases 260-413)
Source: RNAcentral